Molecule: non-coding RNA, 47 nt
Filed under: unclassified sequences
Source: RNAcentral
CCUUGACUGCAUAAGCAGACUAACCCAAGACAAGGAGGAUUUUCAUG